UUUAUUGGGGUUUGGCCUGGCUUCCUGCCCUCCUCUCAGCCUCCCGCAGCCCGGCUUUAUGGCCGUGGUCUCCCUCGGAAGCUGGGAAGAACAGAGAGCAGGAGUGGCCCUGCCGGCGACACCCGGUCCCGCUGAGUCUCCUGAUUUCGGAGUGCCCUGUGGGAAGAUACGCUUAUAAAAGUGCUUUGUGCUCUUCAGAGAGAGGUGUCCCCACGCUCAUGCCCAGCCCAGGCCCUCCCGGGCCAGCCUUCCAGUCCGCUUGGGCUUGCUGGGACAUGUCCCCAGAACGACCUCGCAGACUGGGUGCUGCGUGAGAGCCUCGCCAGCUGCCCUGGGUGCAAGGCCACUGCAGCUGUGCAGGGGAGGGCCCUGCCGUCCAGCCUGAGCCUCCGUGGGCUUGGGAUGGUAACUCCCUUGGCCUUGGCCUUCCUCAGCAAAUAGCCCAGGCUGCAGUCCCCAUGUGCCCUAGGCCUGGCCCUCUCGCUCCGUGCCUCAGUCUCCCUCCCUGAAACUCACAUCAAGACUCUCAGCAACCACCUGGAUUGUGGUUCCAUCAGGGGACCCCAGGGUCCAGGGAUGGAUUCUUUUCCCGGGACUGUCAUCUUCACAAGGCAUGUCUGCGAGGCCCACCCACCCUGUCACAGGCAGCCAGAGGCCGUUCGUCCCCAUGGCCGGGACGCGCUGCUGUGGGGUGCAGACCUAGGGCGAGGACUGCGGGGCCCAGGAAAAUAAAAAAAUGAAGAAAGAAGAAAUUACCAAAAGCUACUAUUUAGAGUCAACCAUCCAACCAAGCAGUCAACAGAUGUUUCCUAAGAGCCUCUUCUGUGUCAGGCCCUGGCGGGGAGAGAGCCGUCUCCCCCCCGUGGAGUCUGGGGUCUGGGGCCGAGUGGGCAGCGGCGUCCCUGAGGGAUGGGCCGGGGGCCUCGGCCAGCUCUGUGGUCUCCGUCCGCUGCCCCCGGGAACAUCCGCACUGAGACCAGCGGGCUUGCCGUGGGACGGAGACCCAAGACAGAGGCCCAGGCCUCCGCCCAGCCCGGCUGCACCCCUAGAACUUGAAGUGGGGAGUCCAGAGGACAGCAAUGACACCAUUAAUCGCAGUCAAGCCCGUGAGAGGAGGAGCGGGUGCCAGGCCGGAGCCCACGGGCACUCGCAGCAGCGGGAACAGGGCGCUGGGGCGUGAGCCGGAGGCAGCCUCAUCUGCACUUCGCCCUUUCUCCUGGGGGUCACCGAAGGGAUUUAAGCCUGGGAGUGGGCAGUUCAGACGUGCUUUUAGCAGGAUCAUUCCGGAUCCCUGCGGAAACUGGCUCGCGGUGACCAGAGCGAAGUCCAGACCCCUCUGGAGGCCCUGAGCUGACGGCAGGAGGGCAGUGGACCAGGGAGAAGAGGAAGGACCAAGAUGUUUAAGCGGCAUCCUGGAAGGACCUGGGGCGAGGCUGACU
Long non-coding RNA from Lemur catta (Ring-tailed lemur), 1439 nucleotides. RefSeq lists it as uncharacterized. The record is from RefSeq and is a predicted model, not a curated record. NCBI's taxonomy places the organism in Eukaryota, Metazoa, Chordata, Mammalia, Primates, Lemuridae. The transcript has 5 exons.